RNAcentral lists this long non-coding RNA (294 nucleotides) under Ricinus communis (castor bean). Its description in RNAcentral is "long non-coding RNA (RCOM_LNC001190)". Lineage: Eukaryota; Viridiplantae; Streptophyta; Magnoliopsida; Malpighiales; Euphorbiaceae. The record is from RNAcentral.
CCUCCUCCUGCAAACACUUCCCGGCAACUACCAUGAAUUAGUUAGAAUUGUCAGAAAUCCACUGCCUUAAACUUCCCCACAUUUGAAGCGUAUGUAACACGGUCCGAUAGUAUUAAGAAGAUGUCCAGGUUUCCAUCGAAUGGGUUCGAGUGUUUGAACAACGGAUCGGAGAAGGCGCGUGGAGAAACUUGUAAUUAAUAGAGUGGAAAAGGGGAGUCGCUCCAUUCGAUGAUUGAGAGUAAAGGAAAAAGAAGAAAAUGAAAACGGAGAGGAAUGGGAAAGUAUGGAGGUGCU